UCCGUUGGUGAACCAGCGGAAGGAUCAUUACCGAGUUGAUUCGGGCUCCGUCCCGAUCCUCCCACCCUUUGUAUACCUACCUCUGUUGCUUUGGCGGGCCGCGGUCUUCCGCGGCCGCCCCCCGAUUUUGGGGGGUGGCUAGUGCCCGCCAGAGGACUAUCAAACUCCAGUCAGUAAACGUUGCAGUCUGAAAAAAAUAUUAAAUAAACUAAAACUUUCAACAACGGAUCUCUUGGUUCUGGCAUCGAUGAAGAACGCAGCGAAAUGCGAUAAGUAAUGUGAAUUGCAGAAUUCAGUGAAUCAUCGAAUCUUUGAACGCACAUUGCGCCCCUUGGUAUUCCGGGGGGCAUGCCUGUUCGAGCGUCAUUUCAACCCUCAAGCUCUGCUUGGUAUUGGGCACCGUCCUUUGCGGGCGCGCCUCAAAGACCUCGGCGGUGGCGUCUUGCCUCAAGCGUAGUAGAAUACACCUCGCUUCGGAGCGUAAGGCGUCGCCCGCCGGACGAACCCUCUGAACUUUUCUCAAGGUUGACCUCGGAUCAGGUAGGGAUACCCGCUGAACUUAAGCAUAUCAAUAAGCGGAGGA
Molecule: ribosomal RNA, 583 nt
Filed under: Macrophomina phaseolina
Lineage: Eukaryota; Fungi; Ascomycota; Dothideomycetes; Botryosphaeriales; Botryosphaeriaceae
Description: eukaryotic LSU rRNA
Rfam family: 5.8S ribosomal RNA (bases 213-366)
Source: RNAcentral